UACGGAGGGAGCUAGCGUUAUUCGGAAUUACUGGGCGUAAAGCGCACGUCGGCGGCUUUGUAAGUUAGAGGUGAAAGCCUGGAGCUCAACUCCAGAACUGCCUUUAAGACUGCAUCGCUUGAAUCCAGGAGAGGUGAGUGGAAUUCCGAGUGUAGAGGUGAAAUUCGUAGAUAUUCGGAAGAACACCAGUGGCGAAGGCGGCUCACUGGACUGGUAUUGACGCUGAGGUGCGAAAGCGUGGGGAGCAAACAGG
Molecule: ribosomal RNA, 253 nt
Filed under: uncultured bacterium
Lineage: Bacteria
Description: partial 16S ribosomal RNA
Rfam family: Bacterial small subunit ribosomal RNA
Source: RNAcentral